This 253-nucleotide ribosomal RNA is filed under the name uncultured bacterium. RNAcentral's name for it is "partial 16S ribosomal RNA". It matches the Rfam family "Bacterial small subunit ribosomal RNA", at positions 524 to 776 of the family's 1533-position model. The record is from RNAcentral.
UACAGAGGGUGCGAGCGUUAAUCGGAAUUACUGGGCGUAAAGCGCACGUAGUCGGCUUUGCAAGUCGGGUGUGAAAUCCCCGGGCUCAACCUGGGAACUGCAUCCGAGACUGCAUUGCUAGAGUAUGGGAGAGGGAAGCGGAAUUUCUGGUGUAGCAGUGAAAUGCGUAGAUAUCAAGAGGAACACCUGCGGCGAAGGCGGGUUGCUGGGCCGACACUGACGCUGAGGCGCGAAAGCCAGGGGAGCGAACGGG